CCUGGGUUGUCGCCGUCCUCAAGGACGUGCACGCCCAAAGUGCUCUCUCAUAUCCAUCUCACCCCUUUGUGCAUCACCGCGUGAGGCCCUCCUCUUUUGACUUGCUCCGGAGAGGAAGGUUCACGUAUUUACAAGAACAACCCAUUAAUGCAUGUGUAGAAUGUCUUACAUUUUGCGUUCACGCGCAAUCAAUACAACUUUCAACAACGGAUCUCUUGGCUCUCGCAUCGAUGAAGAACGCAGCGAAAUGCGAUACGUAAUGUGAAUUGCAGAAUUCAGUGAAUCAUCGAAUCUUUGAACGCACCUUGCGCCCCUUGGUAUUCCGAGGGGUGCACCCGUUUGAGUGUCGUGAAUACCCUCAACCUUCUUGGUUUAUUGACCGGGAAGGCUUGGACUUUGGAGGUUUCUGUUGCUGGCCUCNUUCGAAGCCAGCUCCUCCUAAAUUGGAUUAGUGGGGUCUGUUGUGCCGAUCCUCGACGUGAUAAGUACGCUUCUACGUCUCGGUG
Molecule: ribosomal RNA, 506 nt
Filed under: uncultured Russula
Lineage: Eukaryota; Fungi; Basidiomycota; Agaricomycetes; Russulales; Russulaceae
Description: eukaryotic LSU rRNA
Rfam family: 5.8S ribosomal RNA (bases 196-349)
Source: RNAcentral